Molecule: ribosomal RNA, 292 nt
Filed under: uncultured bacterium
Lineage: Bacteria
Description: partial 16S ribosomal RNA
Rfam family: Bacterial small subunit ribosomal RNA
Source: RNAcentral
GUGCCAGCAGCCGCGGUAAUACGUAGGGGGCGAGCGUUGUCCGGAGUUACUGGGCGUAAAGGGCGCGUAGGCGGUUUGGCGCGUGUGCGGUGCCAGCUCCUUGCUUAACGAGGAGAGUGCCGGGCAAACGGCCAGACUGGAGGGCCUUAGAGGGACAUAGAAUUCCGGGUGGAGUGGUGAAAUGCGUAGAGAUCCGGAGGAAUACCAAUGGCGUAGGCAGUGUCCUGGGAGGCACCUGACGCUGAGGAGCGAAAGCCAGGGGAGCGAACGGGAUUAGAUACCCCCGUAGUCC